CCGGGAGAGAUGCUGCAAGAAACUUCUUAAAUGACUGCGUCCGGCCGGCUGUGGAGCGUUUCUGGGUUGGGGAGAGGAAAGGAAAGUGGAAAAAAACUGAGAACUUCCUGAUCUCUCUCGCUGUGAGACAUGUCUGAGACUCCUGCUCAGUGUAGCAUUAAGCAGGAACGGAUUUCAUAUACACCCCCCGAGAGCCCGGUGCCCAGUUACACUUCCUCGACGCCGCUUCAUGUGCCAGUGCCCCGAGCGCUCAGGAUGGAGGAAGACUCGAUCCGCCUGCCCGCGCACCUGCGCUUGCAGCCAAUGUACUGGAGCAGAGAUGACGUAGCCCAGUGGCUCAAGUGGGCUGAAAAUGAGUUUUCUCUAAGGCCGAUUGACAGCAGCACGUUUGAGAUGAAUGGCAAAGCUCUCCUGCUCCUGACCAAAGAGGACUUUCGCUACCGGUCUCCUCAUUCAGGUGAUGUGCUCUAUGAACUCCUUCAGCAUAUUCUGAAGCAGAGGAAACCUCGGAUUCUUUUCUCACCGUUCUUCCACCCCGGAAACUCGAUACACACGCAGCCGGAAGUCAUCCUGCAUCAGAACCACGAAGAAGAUAACUGUGUCCAGAGGACCCCGAGGCCGUCGGUGGAGAACGUACACCACAACCCUCCCACCAUUGAACUGUUGCACCGUUCCAGGUCACCCAUCACGACAAACCACCGGCCUUCUCCCGACCCCGAGCAGCGGCCCCUCCGGUCCCCCCUGGACAACAUGAUCCGCCGCCUCUCCCCGGCCGAGAGGGCCCAGGGACCGAGGCUCCACCAGGAGAACAACCACCAGGAGUCCUACCCCCUGUCAGUGUCUCCCAUGGAGAAUAAUCACUGCCCACCGUCCUCCGAGCCCCACCAGAAGCCCUCCAGCCCCCGGCAGGAGAGCACGCGGGUGAUCCAGCUGAUGCCCAGUCCCAUCAUGCACCCUCUGAUCCUGAACCCCCGGCACUCCGUGGAUUUCAAGCAGUCCCGGCUCUCCGAGGACGGGCUGCACCGGGAAGGGAAACCCAUCAACCUCUCCCAUCGGGAAGACCUGGCAUACAUGAACCACAUCAUGGUCUCCGUCUCCCCGCCCGAGGAGCACGCCAUGCCCAUCGGGAGGAUAGCAGACUGUAGACUGCUUUGGGAUUACGUCUAUCAGUUGCUUUCUGACAGCCGGUACGAAAACUUCAUCCGAUGGGAGGACAAAGAAUCGAAAAUAUUCCGGAUAGUGGAUCCCAAUGGACUGGCUCGACUGUGGGGAAACCAUAAGAACAGAACAAACAUGACCUAUGAGAAAAUGUCCAGAGCCCUGCGCCACUACUACAAACUAAACAUUAUCAGGAAGGAGCCAGGACAAAGGCUUUUGUUCAGGUUUAUGAAAACCCCGGAUGAAAUCAUGAGUGGCCGAACAGACCGUCUGGAGCAUCUUGAGUCCCAGGAGCUGGAUGAACAAAUAUACCAAGAAGAUGAGUGUUGAAGGAACCAGCCCCCGGCUCAGCGGGCCGAUAGCCAAGGGCACCCUGCCCGCCAGGAUGGCUGGGGCGUGACGGAGCGGAAGGGAAGAGACCCGGACAUGGCAGUGACACUUCUCUCGCCCAGCGUGAGGGACCCCGGAGCACCUUAGACAAACCACUCAGCAAAGGCGGCGCUGGAAUUCUGGCCAAGGGCACCAGCCUGGGACUCACGUUCACGGUUCCUUCUCAUUUGGAAUCUCUUUCUGUAAUUCCUCCCCCACCCCGUUCCACCUAUUGUUAAGUUUCAUGGUGUUUUUGGUUUUGUUCUUUUUUAAGACCAUGCAGUUUGACUUUUCAUCAUUCAUAUAGGGGAAGACAUCGAGGUUGUUUUCCUAUGGAAAUAUAUAUCUAUUAUAUAUAUAUAUAUUUUUUGCAAAUCUCACAAAGUGCAGAAGCGCAACUGGUCAGGAGAGAGAACACUUACAAAAGGGUUCAGGUUCUCUUGACCCUGCCACAUGGAUCAGGUUUGUGCCUGUUGCUGUUGGGUCUUGGCUGGAAAAAAAAAGAAAAAAAAGAAAGAAAAAAAAAAUAAGAUGCUUUUAAAAACGAUAAAUUGAAAAGGAGAGCUCUCUUCUUCUCUCUCUGGCUCUCUUUCCUUCCCUGCCCCGUCCCGUCCUCCCUCCUUGCCUGUUGUUGAAUUUCAGAUGCCUUUCAGCAGGGUUCAGCCUCUUUGGAGAGUCUUGGGAAUUGUUGGCACCUAAACGGGAUCAGUGGUCUGGGUGCUUUGUAGCCGGCGCCACAAAAAGCAAACCCACAUCCCAGCAUUCGGCUACCUAUCGGAGGGAGGCCAGGGACAUCACGGAGGCUGCUGCCUUCCGGGAAGAUGAUGCUAGUCCGGCAGGCUUCCCCUGACACAGCUGUGAGAACCGCGGGGCCUGGUGGUUCCACAGAGCGUAAGAUGAGCCUGGAAGGCUGUCCAGGUUAUUUGGAAGCCCCAGCAUCUUGGGAUUAGUUUGCAAGUGCUGUGAAGUGGGGGGAAAAAAAUGAAAAAAAAAACCACACAGGCCUGAUGGUCCAGGUGACAGACCUUCUGCAGUGGGGUGUGAAUUAUUCCAAAGUAGGUUAUGGAGGGUCACCUCUGCUCCAUCCCAAAGGCCAUCGUGCAGUCAGUUUCAUAUCCUCACCUAAAUUUUUUUCAAUUCCCAGCCUUUUUUUUUUUUUUUUUUAAAGUUUCCUGAUCCCCACAGGACACAGGGCAUUUGAGGGGGAGGACCCUGGAGUGUGUCGUCUCAGUUGUUACUGGUGUUUGCCACGCCUGGGCAGACGGGAAAUUCCUCAGAUACCUUCCUUUUACCCUCUUCUUUCCUAGCUGUGUUUCAGAAUGGACCCAUGUGUGGCUCUCUUUCACCUCAAAAUAAGCAGUGUGUUUGGAACCCCCUGCUCCAUCAUCUUCUUACACUGAUACCUUGGUCCAAGUGAGAAUGUAGGUUUAGCAGAAACUUAAAUGGCUUUGACGGGAUGUACCUAAAUGCCUAAGUAACCACACCUCCUCCGCCAUUCACUGCCUAGGAUCCAACUCUGAAUACAUGUCUGAAACAUUAGCUCCCCUUUUGAAGAAGGGAAAUCUGAGUAUCAGAGAGGUCCUGUGACUUGUCCUAGGAGCAGACGGCAUGCCAGGGACAGAAUGAGGAUUGGGACCCAGCCUGGCCAUACCCCGAUCUGACCCAUUCCCACCCAGGAAGCUGAAGAUAAAAAUUGGGGGAAAUACACAAAGAACAAAAGGCAGUUUCUUUGCCCAAGCAUUCGGUGCUAGUUAGUUUUCACCCACUCAACCUGUUUCUCUUCUGAACAGUAAUGGAGGGAGUGAUCCAAGGAGCCGGGGGUGGGGUGGGAAGGGGGGUGACAGUGGUCCCUGCCUGCCUAAAAACCACAGAAGACUAACCUGAUACCCUUGGGGCCCCAUCUGCAUCAACACUAAACAACGACAAACUCCCCGAAUCUUUCAUACAUGCCAAGUGAACAUUCUUGAAGAUAUUUCUCUGUGACUGCAACCACCUGCAAACGAGGACGAAUCUAGAAUUUUUUUUUUUAAUUUCUAAUCUCUUGUUGUUUAUGAGGUGUGGGGUUUAUAAGGGACUGAAUCAAAUGAAUGUAACAAAAAAGAAAAACAAAAAAAAAAAGCCUUUUCUCAGGGCCAGUGAAUUGCAAAUAAUUUUUAAAGAAAAGCCUAUAAUUGCAUCAUCUCAAUAAAUUUU
Molecule: RNA transcript, 3720 nt
Organism: Lagenorhynchus albirostris (white-beaked dolphin)
Lineage: Eukaryota; Metazoa; Chordata; Mammalia; Artiodactyla; Delphinidae
Gene: ETV6
Gene name: ETS variant transcription factor 6
Exons: 9
Source: RefSeq, a predicted model, not a curated record